GACGAACGCUGGCGGCGUGCUUAACACAUGCAAGUCGAACGGAAAGGCCCUGCUUUUGUGGGGUGCUCGAGUGGCGACCGGGUGAGUAACACGUGAGUAACCUGCCCUUGACUUUGGGAUAACUUCAGGAAACUGGGGCUAAUACCGGAUAGGAGCUCCUGCUGCAUGGUGGGGGUUGGAAAGUUUCGGCGGUUGGGGAUGGACUCGCGGCUUAUCAGCUUGUUGGUGGGGUAGUGGCUUACCAAGGCUUUGACGGGUAGCCGGCCUGCGAGGGUGACCGGCCACAUUGGGACUGAGAUACGGCCCAGACUCCUACGGGAGGCAGCAGUGGGGAAUAUUGCACAAUGGGCGGAAGCCUGAUGCAGCAAUGCCGCGUGCGGGAUGACGGCCUUCGGGUUGUAAACCGCUUUCGCCUGUGACGAAGCGUGAGUGACGGUAAUGGGUAAAGAAGCACCGGCUAACUACGUG
RNAcentral lists this ribosomal RNA (468 nucleotides) under uncultured bacterium. RNAcentral's name for it is "partial 16S ribosomal RNA". It matches the Rfam family "Bacterial small subunit ribosomal RNA", at positions 28 to 507 of the family's 1533-position model. The record is from RNAcentral.